GGCAAGGCAUACCGGCAUAGGUCCCGUGGUUUCACUGGUUUCGCGCGCUUUCUCGGUGUUUUCGAAGUUGGACUCGUGGAUCCGGUCUGCAUUUCAGUCGAAGAGCUUACGCUUGGCGGGAAGCGCGCCAUGGAAAGCGAAUACGAAAGUGACCCCUUUGUCGUGGUGUCUUUUCCUCAAGAGGAGGACAGCUUGGCCAUCAUUCACAAGUCAUGGCUGAAAGAAGACCACCGCUCUACAUUUUGGCCAAUAGAAAGAAACCCUGGAAAACGGCGAAAACUAACGAUGCAAGGCGCUAAACCAACAGGGUCCUGGAUUCAAGUGCAGUGCAUCGUCAAACGCUGGGCUAGUAAGGUUGCAUUUUACUUUCUCAGUUUCUGUGUAUUGAACAAGCUAUUUUCCCCCGAAUACCUAUGAGAAGGCGCAAGACAAGCUUAAUUCCCUCCAGUACUCAUCCGACACUAACAGUGAAAGAGAAUUGGGACGGGGCAAAAGGAAGCGGCAACGUUCGAUGCGUUUUCGAGAUGGCGAGGACAACAGCAGCACAGACUACGGUCACAGUGAUGAAUAUGUCCAACCAAGGGCACCGACACCACCUCAACCACUAUCCACAG
This is a long non-coding RNA of Dermacentor silvarum, 614 nucleotides long. RefSeq lists it as uncharacterized. The transcript is spliced from 3 exons. The record is from RefSeq and is a predicted model, not a curated record. Lineage: Eukaryota; Metazoa; Arthropoda; Arachnida; Ixodida; Ixodidae.